Molecule: long non-coding RNA, 565 nt
Organism: Scylla paramamosain (green mud crab)
Lineage: Eukaryota; Metazoa; Arthropoda; Malacostraca; Decapoda; Portunidae
Exons: 3
Source: RefSeq, a predicted model, not a curated record
UUUUUCCCUCUUUUUCGCUUGAUGUACCACUACACGGGAGCAUGGGUGUGUAUAAAAGUGUCGCCUCUUCCAUCGGGCCAUACAGUCUGUGAAGAACCGACACUCAGGCAACAGCAAUGAAGGCAGUGUUUAUGCUGUGCGUGGUGCUGGUGGCGGUGGCCUCCGUACUGGCAGCUCCUGAACCCGAGGGCAGACCCAGGCUACCGCUACGGCGGCUACGGGGGCAUCGGUGGCUUCGGCGGCUAUGGCGGCUAUGGCGGUUAUGGCGGCUAUGGAGGCUACGGAGGCUUCGGUCACCGGGGUCUUGGAGGCUAUGGCGGCUUCCGUAGCUAUGGUUACGGUCGCGGCUAUGGUGGGCUACGGCGGCUAUGGUGGCUACGGUGGCUAUGGUUACGGCAGGCGUUAUGGUUAUUACGGAUAAAGAACGGCACGAGCUGAGCGUCUUGGAGCCAGUUACGACUUCCCUCUUACCUCCCGGGUCUGCACGGCGGCCGAAUGUAGAAUAUGUCUUUUUAAUGUCUGUAUAAACUGUAAGACCGUGUCUUUAAUACAUUUUCACACAAAA